GAUUUGGGCAAAAAUGGCCGCUUAUUGUUUUUAUUGUUUUACCGAUUAACACUAAAUUCAUUAAAUCAUUAAAUAACUGCGAACGUAUUACUUUUAUAUAUAAAUAAUGAUCCAUUGGUUAUUCCUGGCUCUCCUUUAAAUAAGCUGUAAGCUACGUUGAUCCAAACACAGAAACAUGAAAAACUUAUUUAUUAACAUUUUCUUUCUGGUUUUCUAAAAAUAACAUCCAGCUUCUUCUGGUUUUUUCCUGCCUUUCUAGUCCUGUUAUCUCCUCAGUAGUGACACCUAGAGUUAAAAUGAGGUAUGACGUCUUACUGAUUUGCUUGAAGUUUGACGUGACUCAGCCUGAAUCUGAAGCCAGCUUCUCCGACUGAAUGUUGAUCCACAGAGGAUCCUUCACCCACAGAAAUAUUUCCACAGCAUCUUCUUCCUCAGGAGGUUUUCUACGACAUGAACGCACAUCGAGCACCUCUCCUCUCACACCGACGUCUCUCUACCAGCAUCUUUUUGUGUACAAUAUUUGUACGUGUUGAAAAUAUUCCUGUUAAAAUGAGGUUUACUUGUGUUUUAUUGCUGCUUUCAGUGGGAUAUUUUCUGCAGAAAUAAAUAAAAGUUCUGUUUAUCCCUGAUUCACAAUAAAUUGUCAUAUUCUG
This is a long non-coding RNA of Cyprinodon tularosa, 653 nucleotides long. RefSeq lists it as uncharacterized. NCBI's taxonomy places the organism in Eukaryota, Metazoa, Chordata, Actinopteri, Cyprinodontiformes, Cyprinodontidae. The transcript is spliced from 2 exons. The record is from RefSeq and is a predicted model, not a curated record.